CCCUAUUAUUUAUAAAAUAUAAGUGAUUAGUAUGGAAAAGAGAAAAUUAAUAAUUUUGGCGGUUGAUUAAUUUUUAGAGGAGCUUGUAAUUGAAUAGAGUUGGCUCAAUAUAUUUUACUAAUCUUAUACUUAUUCAUUUCCGUUAUUAAGUUAUUAUUAAAAAAGAAAACAAGGGUUCUUAUAUCUCAGGUCAAGAUGUAGUUUUUAUUAGAAAGUUAUUAGCUACAUUUAUAAAUUUAUUGGAAUUUAGUUUAAGAAAUAGGAAGAAAUUGAAUUUAGUUGUAAUAUUAAUUAGAAAAUUAAUAUGAAAUUUAUAUUAAUUAAUGUA
Molecule: ribosomal RNA, 328 nt
Filed under: Hernandaria armatifrons
Lineage: Eukaryota; Metazoa; Arthropoda; Arachnida; Opiliones; Gonyleptidae
Description: partial 12S ribosomal RNA
Source: RNAcentral